UGACCCUAUAGAACAGGAUUUGCUUUAGCAGGGCUCUGGUGCCUGCCCAGUCUGCCCUUUGGGUGUGUCUUUUAUGGAAGUGGUUGGGUAGUUUUUGGUGUGGUCUGUAGCUGGCCACUGGGUGUGUUGGUUCUGGAGCUUCCUGUAAGGAGCUCUGUUGCAGUCCAAGGUCAGCCACUGCCUGGGGCCACUUGGUAUGAGCUACAAGGUGACCUGCAAAUGAUUACCACUUGUGCUGCUGGGAUUGGAGAUGCCUGGGAGAGAUUAAGUUGACGAUCAAGGCCAGCUGCCGCUAAUGCCAUGUUUGAGGCUGCUUAGCAAGAGAUAUGGGGCAAGCCAAGGCCAAAUGGUGCCUGUUUGGGGUUUGUGAGCCUUUGAGAGAUUUUAUGAAAGUCCACAGCAUGUGCCAAGACAGUCCGUUUGUAUGGAAAUGGCUUGGAUGGACUUGUAAUUUGAGUGAGGGAGGGUCUCAGGGAGUUACCAGGGCGGGGUGAAUAGUAUUAAUUGCGUUGAUGGGAACUCAUAUAUAGCAGCCACCUGUGUCUGCAUGCUGGCUGUGGGUCGCCUCAGCACGCAGACAAAGGAACAAUGUCUGCCAACACUUCUGCCUGGGAGAAAGCUGCCCUCACCCUAAAGCCAGAAAAUUCAGUUCUUCCACAUAUGUCCCUGAUGACUUUGAGCUGCUCUACCCAUGACGGAGCUCAGAGCGAGUGAACCCAUCAGCAAAUACUUAAAGGCCAUGCUCCAGAUGUUGCUGGGAUCACGCGCAUUGGCUCUCUACUGAGGAGUGUACCUUCUGCUCGGAACAUGCAAG
This is a long non-coding RNA of Hipposideros armiger (great roundleaf bat), 814 nucleotides long. RefSeq lists it as uncharacterized. The transcript has 2 exons. NCBI's taxonomy places the organism in Eukaryota, Metazoa, Chordata, Mammalia, Chiroptera, Hipposideridae. The record is from RefSeq and is a predicted model, not a curated record.